GCUAGGAUUCUAACCCUACACCGUUAUCCGGUUAGGGGACAGUUUCAGGUGGUCAGUUUGACUGGGGCGGUCGCCUCCUAAAAGGUAACGGAGGCGUGCAAAGGUUUCCUCAGGCUGGUCGGAAAUCAGUCGUAGAGUGUAAAGGCAUAAGGAAGCUUGAUUGUGAGACCUACAAGUCGAACAAAGACGAAAGUCGGCCUUAGUGAUCCGACGGUUCCGAGUGGAAGGGCCGUCGCUCAACGGAUAAAAGUUACUCUAGGGAUAACAGG
This 269-nucleotide ribosomal RNA is filed under the name uncultured eukaryote. RNAcentral's name for it is "partial large subunit ribosomal RNA". It matches the Rfam family "Bacterial large subunit ribosomal RNA", at positions 2213 to 2481 of the family's 2925-position model. The record is from RNAcentral.